Molecule: non-coding RNA, 352 nt
Organism: Camellia sinensis
Lineage: Eukaryota; Viridiplantae; Streptophyta; Magnoliopsida; Ericales; Theaceae
Source: RefSeq, a predicted model, not a curated record
AAGAUAAUUUGGAUUCUACUACAACUAUUGUUUAUCUUGAAGUAUUGCUGUAGUAUUCUAUGCAGAUUAAAUGACGUUUUUUUAGAAGGAUUGGACCGAAAAAUCCAUGGAGCUUAAAAGGAGAAAUACGACUACCUUGCUUCGAUGGGGAUGUAAUAAGAUUGUUGUGCAUAUUCCUCAUUGGGGAUACAUAAAAGUUGAUACAAAGACUUUUUGGAAAGUAAUGUGGAGGAAGUUUGGGCAAACGCAUAUUUGAAGACAUGCUAUUGACACAUCUUUUGUAAAGCAUAUAUAUUUUUGGUGUAUGACAAUAUAAUUUUUGGUGUAUGACAUGUUAGUGACACAUCUUUUG